This 208-nucleotide unclassified non-coding RNA is filed under the name Hevea brasiliensis (rubber tree). Lineage: Eukaryota; Viridiplantae; Streptophyta; Magnoliopsida; Malpighiales; Euphorbiaceae. The record is from RNAcentral.
CCUGAUAACACUGAUUGGGUUAUAUCUAAAGGAGACUAAGAGGGACUAACUAAUAUAUUUACCAUAAACAGUUUGAUGUUAUAUGGGUUCUCUUGGGUGUAAUUGGGUUGAUGGGUAGUAUAGCUAUAAGCUAAUGAUUCAUUAUUGAUGAUAGUGGAAGAUGGCAUGGCCGUGGAUAUAGUCUUAUGUUGAGAGGGUGAACCACAUA